CGGAGGGUCCAAGCGUUAUCCGGAAUCAUUGGGUUUAAAGGGUCCGUAGGCGGUUUAAUAAGUCAGUGGUGAAAGCCCAUCGCUCAACGAUGGAACGGCCAUUGAUACUGUUGAACUUGAAUUAUUAGGAAGUAACUAGAAUAUGUAGUGUAGCGGUGAAAUGCUUAGAGAUUACAUGGAAUACCAAUUGCGAAGGCAGGUUACUACUAAUAUAUUGACGCUGAUGGACGAAAGCGUGGGGAGCGAACAGGAUUAGAUACCCUGGUAGUCCACGCCGUAAACGAUGGAUACUAGCUGUUCGGAGCAAUCUGAGUGGCUAAGCGAAAGUGAUAAGUAUCCCACCUGGGGAGUACGUUCGCAAGAAUG
Molecule: ribosomal RNA, 366 nt
Filed under: uncultured organism
Description: bacterial SSU rRNA
Rfam family: Bacterial small subunit ribosomal RNA
Source: RNAcentral